Non-coding RNA from Phalacrocorax carbo (great cormorant), 2662 nucleotides. NCBI's taxonomy places the organism in Eukaryota, Metazoa, Chordata, Aves, Suliformes, Phalacrocoracidae. The record is from RefSeq and is a predicted model, not a curated record.
UCUGCCCCCGCGCCCCGAGGCGGCUCGGCGGGCCCGCCGCGCCCCCCCCGCCCCCUCCCGCGCCGCCCGUGGGGAUGCGGCGGAGGGGCCGUGGCGCACCGGUCGGCCUGCGGUACGGUCUGUCACAGGCUCCCGCUGGACGAAACGCCCCCCCCACAGCUGAACAAACGCGUACUGCAGCGGCCGCUGCGUGACAAAGGUGCUGCCCUGCCCCGAGUACCGAGGAACGUCAACCGGAGCCUACCCAGGCGCCAGUGCCCUGGCCCUGGCCGGGGAAAGAAAUGUGGAUCUGCCCCAGCCCCUCUCCUCCGCUGGGGCUGGCUGGAGCCUCCUGCAUCUCCCCCAGCGCGAGAAGUGCGGCUGUCCCCGGCUGCAGCUCACUCACCUUGCCCGGUGCCCGUGUGAUCAUCUUCGGCCACGGGGCAGCUGCCGGCCGCCCCCCCGGGGGAGCGGGGCAGGCUGAGCCCCACCUGCAGCAUGUGCCCUGGCUCCGGUGUGCCCCGCUGCCAGGUCCCCUCCGUCCCCAUCACCUGCCCUGACUUUUAAGGCAAGAGCUGAGUUGGAGGAAAAGUACCCUCCAACAGCCGAGAGAUGCUCCCGGCAACAUCGCACCGAUCCGACAUUGCCACCUGGAGUACUCACAGUUCAGGCUGCACUUAAAAGUGGGCAUUUUUAUAGGCAUCUUCAAAUUUUUAAAGAUUUUUUUUUCCUUAAAAAAUCUGAUUUUUUCUCCUCUGGUAACAGCAACUGUGGAUCCUUCCUGCCUCACCUCCCCGCCUGUGGGGUCUGCCUGCACCUGCAGCGCACCCGAGCAUCUGCCAGCACCGGUGGUCUCGGGCAUCUGCCCCCAAACAGGAGCGGUCCCUCUGCAAACCGUCUCCUUUCUGGAUGAAGCACCUCCUCUGUGAUGUGCCAGUGUCUGACGGGAGCGGCAUGGCUCUCCUCGUGUCUCUCUCCCUUUGCUGCCUGGGAGCCAGAGGAAGGGGGGCGAGGGGCUGUGUCAGCAAAGGGACCCCAGGGUGCUGUGCUGGGCGGGCGGCGAGGGGCUGUUGCGCCGCGGGAGGCUCCUACUCUGCGCCCCGCGGGCAGCUCUGCUCCGCACGCCGCAUCCGAAGGGGCAGGUGAUGGCCCCCAGCUCUGCUCUGGGGCUCCUCAUGCUGCACCCCGCUCUGCUUCCCAGCGCCGAGGGGUUGUUUAUUCUCUCUCCAACUCAAACCAAUUGCCCAGGCUCUUACAGCAGCAGGUCCUGCUGCCUUUCCCCAGCACCUUGCUGGCUGCCUUCUCCUCGUUUGCUUUUUCUAGGGCAGCAGAUGCCUCUCCCUGCCAGACUGAAGCAGCUCUAAAUCCUCCCGCAGGCCCCCCAUCCGCCUGCCUGCUCCCCAGCAGGCGCUCCGCUCCACGCCGAGAGAGGAGAUGGAAGGGAAUUAGGGACGGCAAGAAAUGGAUCAUCGCUUCCUGCACUUUUAAUGGCAAAAAAAUUAAAUAUGUAGAGGUCGUGCUGGCUCCGGAUGAGCAGCACAGCGGAAGGCCAUAAAUGUUUUAUGCUAACGGCCUGUGAGAGGAGCCCGCCCGAUUCGGAUGUGCGAAGAGCCGUCGCCCCGGGGAUGGAGCCCGCACCGGGGGCUCCCCAAGCCACCCUACGCUGCUUCGCUUCAUGCCCAGGACACAUCCGGCACGUGGGUCUUCCUCGGCCGUGGCCUCACGGUCCUGAGCGCCCAUCGCGGAGUGUCGGUGCCAGCCCGUCUGCGGCAGCCCCGUCCCGUGGCAAGAGGGGUCUGCGUCCCUCUCCCCGCCCCGGCACAUACCCUAGCCCUGCCCAGCCGCCCCCAGAGAGCAAACGUGACAUGAGGGGGUGCCUGGGGGUGCUCAGCACCUCCUGAACCAGCCCCGGGGGCGGCAUCGCUCCGGCGGCGCUUGCUCCCCAUCGCACCUCUGGCUGCUCUUGCUCAGCACUCAAAAGCUGUCCCAGCCCAGGCAAAUGGGCCUCGGUGCCGGUCCGAGCACCCGCGGGGAGCACAGCGGGCGCUGCAGCCGCCUGCAGAUACGCUGACGAGGACGCGCUCGGUACCGGGGCACGCCGCAGCAGCGCCGUAGCUCCCCCACGUUAUGAGGGCGAUAAAACCUCGCUAUCAGUGCCUUGCUGCGGUUUUUCGGGCAUCUGUAACCGAUGUUCGUAGGUGCGUUGAUUUACAUCAUCAGUCGCACCCAAAAGAAAGAGGAGAGGCCAAAUCCCGGCGGAUCAGGUGUGGGGAAGGCUCGUUGGGCUUGGACGGAGGCUGCUGCACAAGCGAGGGCCUGCGCCCGCCGCCCGGUUGCUGCAGAGCCCUGUGCAGCCAAAAUAUUGACAGCGUCAACACCGACCAGCAUCGCAGAGGCUUCCCGGCAGCCCGGCCCUGCCUGCUGCUGCUGGCGGGGGGACAGGGACGAGGGGACAGGGACAUCGGCGUGGGCAGGGGCAGGCAGUGAAUGUCAUUUGGGAAUGUGCAGGGACAGGGGAUGGGGCUGAGGAUUUGGAGGAGGGAAACGGUGGCUGCCUUAGGGAAGGGAAAGGUGGGAGGCAGGGAGAAAAGGCCACGGGGAGCCCAUGGGGCUGGAGCAGCCGUGCCCGGGGGAACAGCUGGUGGGAAAGGGAGAGGGUAAGGCACUGCUCGGGCUUGGGUUC